Molecule: RNA transcript, 3584 nt
Organism: Nelumbo nucifera (sacred lotus)
Lineage: Eukaryota; Viridiplantae; Streptophyta; Magnoliopsida; Proteales; Nelumbonaceae
Gene: CPL2
Gene name: carboxyl-terminal domain (ctd) phosphatase-like 2
Source: RefSeq, a predicted model, not a curated record
AACCGCUACUAGCGAGGGAGUGACAAACUGAGGGGACAGGGCUUCAUAAAGGAAAGGAGAAAAAAAAUAAGGAAAAAAAAAACUUAUUAGAUUUCAAAGCCCUAGUUUCUUUCUUAGACGUUCAGGUUUGGAUCGAAAUCUGCGGAGAUUGAAGGUUUUCUUAGGUUUUGAUUCUGGAGCAGAAUUACUGGUCUGUUUUAAAUGAGUCGUCUAGGGUUCAAAUCGGUGGUAUAUCAUGGCGACUCGUGUUUGGGGGAAGUUGAGAUUUUCCCCGCGAAAAACCAGAAUGUUCAAUUCCCAAAUAACGAAAUACGAAUCAACUACAUCUCUCAGCCCAGUGAACGAUGCCCUCCUCUUUCAGUCCUUCAAACGAUUUCUCCUUUUUCAGUUCGUUGCAAGCUUGAAUCGAAAACUGUGGUCGAGCAGUCUCCACUGAGUCGUCUUCAUGCUUCCUGUUUCUAUGAAUUAAAGACGGCCGUCGUGUUGCUCGGAGAGGAAGAGCUCCAUUUGGUGGCAAUGACGAGCAAGCAGGAGAAGUUCCCGUGCUUUUGGUGUUGUUCAGUUCCAUUAGGUCUUUACGGUUCUUGCUUAGGGAUGCUGAAUCUCCGGUGUCUCGCGAUUGUGUUUGAUCUUGACGAGACACUUAUUGUUGCUAAUACAAUGAAGUCAUUUGAGGACAGAAUUGACGCUCUGCAACGUAGGAUUGCCUGUGAAACUGAUCCGGUUCGAGUUUCAGGAAUGUCAGCUGAGCUUAAACGAUAUGUAGAAGAUAGAAUGUUGUUGAAACAGUACAUAGAAGGCGAUUAUGUCAUGGAUAAUGGUAAAACGCUCAAGGUUCAGCUGGAGGAGGUUCCUCCUCUAUCUAAUAAUCACGAGCGAAUCAUCCGGCCAGUUAUUAGAUUGCAAGAGAGGAAUAUUGUCCUUACUCGGAUUAAUCCAGAGAUCCGUGAUACUAGUGUUCUUGUGAGAUUGCGACCUGCAUGGGAGGAUUUGAAAAGUUAUCUGACAGCAAAAGGACGAAAGCGUUUUGAAGUUUAUGUUUGUACAAUGGCCGAAAGAGAUUAUGCUCUAGAGAUGUGGAGACUUCUUGAUCCAGAGGCACAUCUUAUAAGUGUAAAGCAGCUUUUGACUCGUGUUGUAUGUGUCAGAUCAGUAGGCUCUCGGAAAUCUCUUCUUAAUGUUUUCCAAGAUGGGAUUUGCCAUCCAAAGAUGGCAAUGGUAAUUGAUGACCGCCUCAAUGUUUGGGAAGAUAAGGACCAACCUAGAGUUCACGUUGUCCCUGCCUUUACUCCUUAUUAUGCCCCUCUGGCCGAGAGAGCAAACCCUGUGCCUGUAUUAUGUGUUGCAAGGAAUGUUGCAUGCAAUGUCAGGGCUGGCUAUUUUAAAGAAUUUGAUGAGAACCUUUUGCGAAAAAUUUCUGAACUCCGCUAUGAAGAUGAAGUUAUAAAUUUGCCUUAUGCUCCUGAUGUGAGCAACUAUUUGAUGUCAGAGGAUGCUGGUUUUGUACAAAAUGCCAAUAGAGAUAUUCCCAUUUCUGAGGGCACGAAUGGUGCUGAAGUUGAAAGGAGAUUGAAUAGACCGGAUGAGAAACAUAUUGUAGAUCCUGCUCCUCCUUUCACAAGCAAUCCCAAUGUAAGACCUGAAACACAGAAACUUGUGAACAUCUCACCAAAUGUUAUCAGCCCGGCAACUUCUCGACCCAUUUUACCUUCGCAGAAACCUAGUAUACUUGGAGCUCCUGCUAGAUGGGAUAUUAUCCCCCCUGAAUUAGAUCCUGAUUUGAGGAGAAGACUCCUUAUAUUGCAGCAUGGUCAGGAUGUGAGGGAUCAAUGCUCAGGUGAUCCUCCUAUUCUACCAAGGCCACCUGCACAAGCAUCACCACCAUUAAUACAAACACGUGGAGGCUGGUUAGUAGAGGAAGACAUCAAUAUGGGGCAAAUAAAAAACCAGCCUUUGGGAUUUACUCAUGAAUCUGAUGCAUUACUACCAAAUAAGCGAGAUCAGCAGAGUCUUCAUUACCAUAAUGCUGAUAGUUCUGUUGCCCAUGGCCCUGGGUCAUCCUCUAACACUUCCAAAGUCACAAGUGAUGAGGCAUAUCCUGGACACGAAAAGCAAAAACAAAAUACUUCACAGUCAACUCAGUCUUCAUUCCCAGAGGAUGAUGAGCAAUCUUUGAAUCAAGUGCCCGGCAAUAAUAGAGAUCUUCAAACUGAGGAUGGAAAAGUGACUCUGUUUCCUACCUCUGUAAUAGGAGUGUUGCAAGAAAUUGGGCGGAGGUGUGGCUCUAAGAUGGAGUUCAGAUUUAUUGACAGUACCAUUAAGGAUCGACGGUAUUCUGUUGAGGUCUGGUUCACUGGUGAAAGGAUUGGUGUUGGGGUGGGUAAGACAAAGAGGGAUGCACAACAACAAGCAGCUGAGAAUGCCCUUCAUAGCCUGGCUGAUUACGCAGAUAAAUAUAUGGCUCAGAUUGCACCUGAUUCUGAAGCUGUGGAUAAAGAUAUGAAUAAGCUUUCUGUUGGAAAUGAAAAUGGAUUUCUAUGGGAUGUUGCAAGUCCUGAGUUGGAGGAAAUGCCCAAAGAAGAGAAUUUACCUGAUGCCAGCAGUUCUGAGGUUGCGGAAGACACACUUGGAAAUUCUAAAGAUAUUGCAAAUAAUCAAACACAAAAGCGUGAAAACUCACCGAGGUAUCAUAAGAAAAUGGCUGCAUUGACUUUGUCUGUGGCUGCUCAAUUUGGGGGCCUAAAAAUGUCAUGCUUUGCAACCUCGCCCUCCCAAACAGUUUCAGCAUUUCAGGUGGAAAAGGAGAAAAAUGCUUACUUUUGGCAAAUGGAAGGACAUUAUUGAUUGAAGCUAGCUAGGCAAAUGGUGGAGCACAGGAUGGCAAAGUACAUGGCCCUUUUGGAUUUGCCACCUUGGCUUUUACAUGCUCAAAGACUUUGAAUUGACCUCUGUUCGCUGCAUCAAGUGCAGAAUCUUUCUUCUGGAAAUACAAAAUCCAAGUAACGUAGUUGCUACAAGCCAUACCAUCCAAACGGUCUAAAGAUGAAGCGCUGUGCGGUUUACAAGGUCUGCCAUCCUCGAGAUAUCCAAAGAAUGGGCAUCCCGUUUCUUGACAGGCAUCUGAUUUCUUGAUUAGGAAAUAGCCAUGUAAUGGGAGCAGUUGGGCGAUUUUCACCAAAAUUAAGGUCUUAAGUUUGAGAUAUCCAGGUCUUAGUUUUUGGUUUCAGGCCAUGGUUCAUCUCUUCUUUAUUGGUAAAGUUGGCAGGUGCCUGUGCUGCCAUUGCUGGAGCUCUUCUUGUGGGCUCUCUCCUGAUUUCACGUGGAGCCUGUUCAAUUUUGGUUCCCUUUUUAUGGGGGAUAUCUAGAGGGUGACACACCUUUAGAGUUUGUACAGUAAUUCUGGCAUCCGUCUAAUAUAGUAUUAUCCUUUUUUUUUAUGCCAGUCUAAUAUAUUAUCUUAAUCCGAUCUUCAGGGUUAUAAGAUCAUUAAUUUGACAAUUUUUCUCAAUAUGCUAACUAGGUUUUGUUUCUCUAAUGGUAAAGGGGCAAAAUUGCUUAUGAUGCUGUGAUUAUUUAUCGACUUA